This 465-nucleotide ribosomal RNA is filed under the name Vreelandella stevensii. Its description in RNAcentral is "partial 16S ribosomal RNA". It matches the Rfam family "Bacterial small subunit ribosomal RNA", at positions 338 to 795 of the family's 1533-position model. The record is from RNAcentral. Lineage: Bacteria; Pseudomonadati; Pseudomonadota; Gammaproteobacteria; Oceanospirillales; Halomonadaceae.
CCUACGGGAGGCUGCAGUGGGGAAUAUUGGACAAUGGGCGAAAGCCUGAUCCAGCCAUGCCGCGUGUGUGAAGAAGGCCUUCGGGUUGUAAAGCACUUUCAGUGGGGAAGAAAGCCUUGGGGCUAAUACCCUCGAGGAAGGACAUCACCCACAGAAUAAGCACCGGCUAACUCCGUGCCAGCAGCCGCGGUAAUACGGAGGGUGCGAGCGUUAAUCGGAAUUACUGGGCGUAAAGCGCGCGUAGGCGGUCUGAUAAGCCGGUUGUGAAAGCCCCGGGCUCAACCUGGGAACGGCAUCCGGAACUGUCAGGCUAGAGUGCAGGAGAGGAAGGUAGAAUUCCCGGUGUAGCGGUGAAAUGCGUAGAGAUCGGGAGGAAUACCAGUGGCGAAGGCGGCCUUCUGGACUGACACUGACGCUGAGGUGCGAAAGCGUGGGUAGCAAACAGGAUUAGAUACCCCUGUAGUC